GACGAACGCUGGCGGCGUGCUUAACACAUGCAAGUCGAGCGGUAAGGCCCUUUCGGGGGUACGACGAGCGGCGAACGGGUGAGUAACACGUGGGUGACCUGCCCUCCAGCUCUGGGAUAAGCCUGGGAAACCGGGUCUAAUACCGGAUAUGACUCCAUGACGCAUGUUGUGGGGUGGAAAGCCUUGUGCGGCUGAGGAUGGGCCCGCGGCCUAUCAGCUUGUUGGUGGGGUGAUGGCCUACCAAGGCGACGACGGGUAGCCGGCCUGAGAGGGCGACCGGCCACACUGGGACUGAGACACGGCCCAGACUCCUACGGGAGGGCAGCAGUGGGGAAUCUUGCGCAAUGGGCGAAAGCCUGACGCAGCGACGCCGCGUGAGGGAUGACGGCCUCGG
RNAcentral lists this ribosomal RNA (394 nucleotides) under uncultured bacterium. RNAcentral's name for it is "bacterial SSU rRNA". It matches the Rfam family "Bacterial small subunit ribosomal RNA", at positions 28 to 420 of the family's 1533-position model. The record is from RNAcentral.